AGCAAUGGCGGCACCAUGGCCGCUGGGGAUGAGCGCGUCGGAGUGUUGACGACGCCGACGCCGCGUGGCGUUACACCGGGAAGCAAGCUGAAGGCAAACAGCGACACACGCAACUUUGACGGCAAGGACCUUCACGACUUGGUCAAGUUGUCCUGGCAGGAUUACUCAGAUGUGAGCCGCGUGCAGAGGAUGGUGGAAGUGGGGCUGAGCAGCAACACCACGGAGGCGUCCAGAGCUGAGGCGUUGAUGCAAAUUCGGGAGGUGAGGUCGACAGGGGGGGGAGAAAGGGAGAGAGAGAGAAAGGGGGGAAAGGGGAAAGGGGGAGGGGGGGGGAGAGAGAGAGAGAGAGGCGGACAGAGAGAGGCGGAUAGAGAUAGGUGGGGAGCGCAAGGGAGACGGCGGGGCUCUCAUGUAUAUGUGUAGAUAGAUGCGUAAAUAUAUAUACGCACGUAUAAUACGUAUGUGAAUGCAAGUGCGUACGUAGACGUAUCGAUGUAUAUCUAUGUAUAUGUAUAUCUAUGUAUAUGUAUAUGCAUGUAUGUAAUGUGCGUGUUGCACUUACCAAAAGUUGCGUUGCUCUUCCAAGGUGUAAUGGGGCCAUACGAGCCGGGGGCCAAAGAGCCGGUCUAGGGCUGUCCGAAAAUGGUUUUGUUGAAUUAGCUGAACUAUCUAGACUGUUAUGCUGUUGCAGUGCGCCUACCGGCUACCUAAGACCCUCCCUAGCCAGGUUUGGUGGAUAUGGAGGUUUGCCAACCCAACUUCGGCUGGUCAUCCGCUACCAUCACAUGCUCUAUCGUCUGAUCCACGUGAAACCCGAUAGGACACUGCAUGUGCUGCAAAAGAACAUGAUUUUCGUCUUCCACGGCUUGAGGCUCGGCAAACUUGCUGAUAUCGCUCGUAAGCCCGCAGCGGGUAAUCCGGCCCAAACAGUAAAAUGCAAGCUCCCCGCUUAAACUUAUGUGAGCAAGGGACCCCGAUUCGGUAACUACAUUUAUUCCAAGAACCGAUAGCGCGCUAGGCCCAAAAGGAAUUUAGGAGAAUUUGCGAGAACUCAGCAAACAGCA
This 1064-nucleotide long non-coding RNA is filed under the name Volvox carteri. Its description in RNAcentral is "long non-coding RNA (VCAR_LNC000905)". The record is from RNAcentral. Lineage: Eukaryota; Viridiplantae; Chlorophyta; Chlorophyceae; Chlamydomonadales; Volvocaceae.